RNAcentral lists this ribosomal RNA (1054 nucleotides) under Listeria monocytogenes. Its description in RNAcentral is "partial 23S ribosomal RNA". It matches the Rfam family "Bacterial large subunit ribosomal RNA", at positions 408 to 1463 of the family's 2925-position model. Lineage: Bacteria; Bacillati; Bacillota; Bacilli; Caryophanales; Listeriaceae. The record is from RNAcentral.
CUGAGUACGGCGGAACACGUGAAAUUCCGUCGGAAUCCGGGAGGACCAUCUCCCAAGGCUAAAUACUCCCUAGUGACCGAUAGUGAACCAGUACCGUGAGGGAAAGGUGAAAAGCACCCCGGAAGGGGAGUGAAACAGUUCCUGAAACCGUGUGCCUACAAGUAGUUAGAGCCCGUUAAUGGGUGAUAGCGUGCCUUUUGUAGAAUGAACCGGCGAGUUACGAUUUGUUGCAAGGUUAAGCGGAAAAAGCGGAGCCGUAGCGAAAGCGAGUCUGAAUAGGGCGCAUAAGUAACAGGUCGUAGACCCGAAACCAGGUGAUCUACCCAUGUCCAGGAUGAAGGUAAGGUAAUACUUACUGGAGGUCCGAACCCACGCACGUUGAAAAGUGCGGGGAUGAGGUGUGGGUAGCGGAGAAAUUCCAAUCGAACUUGGAGAUAGCUGGUUCUCUCCGAAAUAGCUUUAGGGCUAGCCUCGAGGUAAAGAGUCAUGGAGGUAGAGCACUGUUUGGACUAGGGGCCCUUCUCGGGUUACCGAAUUCAGAUAAACUCCGAAUGCCAUGUACUUAUACUCGGGAGUCAGACUGCGAGUGAUAAGAUCCGUAGUCGAAAGGGAAACAGCCCAGACCACCAGUUAAGGUCCCCAAAUAUAUGUUAAGUGGAAAAGGAUGUGGGGUUGCUUAGACAACCAGGAUGUUGGCUUAGAAGCAGCCACCAUUGAAAGAGUGCGUAAUAGCUCACUGGUCGAGUGACCCCGCGCCGAAAAUGUACCGGGGCUAAACAUAUUACCGAAACUGUGGAUGAACCUCUUUAGAGGUUCGUGGUAGGAGAGCGUUCUAAGGGCGGUGAAGUCAGAUCGGAAGGACUGGUGGAGCGCUUAGAAGUGAGAAUGCCGGUAUGAGUAGCGAAAGAAGGGUGAGAAUCCCUUCCACCGAAUAUCUAAGGUUUCCUGAGGAAGGCUCGUCCGCUCAGGGUUAGUCGGGACCUAAGCCGAGGCCGAUAGGCGUAGGCGAUGGACAACAGGUAGAGAUUCCUGUACCAGUGCUAAUUGUUUAACC